This is an RNA transcript of Sabethes cyaneus, 1338 nucleotides long. It is a transcript of the gene named pyrimidodiazepine synthase-like, with no coding region annotated. The transcript has 4 exons. NCBI's taxonomy places the organism in Eukaryota, Metazoa, Arthropoda, Insecta, Diptera, Culicidae. The record is from RefSeq and is a predicted model, not a curated record.
UGCCAGGCAGGCAAUUGAUGCGAAAUACAUGAAACUGUGAAAAUGGUUAGUUAAAUUCGUUUUGUGAAAUCGCUUUGCGUUUGCCGCCUUUUUCAUGUGAGCAACGAAAAUGUGACGUCAUAUCAGCCCCCUGAUGUAGAAAAUGUAGAAAACCUGGAAAACAAUCAAACAGAAGCAGACACAGCAGACAGCACACGGAUCGACCAAAGCAAGAGUUUGACUUCAGUGAUUGUUCGUCAUCAAUCAACCGCGAUUCAGCUUCGCUGAAAUUUCUGGGCGAUACCUCUGAAUAUUGUGCUUGUUACCGUACAGUACGUAAACCGGAAAAUUUUAAAAUGAGCAGUGGAAAGCAUUUGGCAAAAGGAUCCACUCCACCCGUGCUCGGAAACGAUGGAAAGCUCCGGCUUUACUCGAUGCGUUUUUGCCCGUACGCUCAGCGGGUACACCUGAUUCUGGAUGCUAAGAAAAUACCAUAUCACACAAUCUACAUCAAUUUGAGCGAAAAGCCCGAGUGGUACUUCGAGAAAAACCCUCUGGGCAAGGUGCCUGCCCUGGAGGUUCCCGGCAAGAGCACCGAAACGCUCUACGAAUCGCUUGUCGUCGCGGACUACAUCGAGGAAGCCUACCCGGACAAACAGCGCAAACUAUAUCCGGUGGAUGCUUUCCAGAAGGCUCAGGAUCGUAUCCUGAUCGAGCGAUUUAAUGGUUUGGUUAUUUCACCUUACUAUCGGAUCAUGUUCUCCAGUGACGGCAUUCCACCGGGUGCCAUUACCGAGUUCGGUACUGGUUUAGAUAUUUUCGAAAAAGAGCUAAAAUCUCGAGCAACUCCAUAUUACGGAGGCGACAAGCCCGGUAUGCUGGACUAUAUGAUUUGGCCGUGGUGCGAGCGGGUUGAUUUGCUGAAGUUUGCUCUGGGCGAUAAAUACGAGCUCGACAGGGAACGUUUUGGCAAGUUGCUACAAUGGCGCGAUCUCAUGCAGAAGGAUGAAGCCGUGAAAAAGUCAUUUCUCUCCACUGAAAGCCAUACCAAGUUUUUGCAGAGUCGCAAAGCAGGAGAGAAUAACUACGACUGCGUAGCGUAAGCAUUCAAACGAAUAAACAGCUUGGCUGCUUCAGAAGUUUGUUUCUCCAAUAAACUAUGCCAAAAGGUUUCGCGUUUGGUAGCUCAAAAAUCGUGAAACGUUGAAGAAAUACAGUGAACUUCACUAGAUCGAAUAAAUAUAACUCAAUCAAAUCGCAAACAAAACAAAGCAAUGUGUAAUGGACUUCGGAUCUGAACAAUGUCAAAAAUAUCAGCUUCGUCGAUUGUACGAAUAAAUAUAUACUUAAUUUUUACUU